CAGUGACUAAGAGCUCAGAACAGGCCUGUCCUCCCUGAGUGCCACCUCCGGAAGAGAGGGCAGGGGAGGACAGAACUCUCGGGUUCCUGAAACAGCCUCUGGGAGAGCCACCUCAGCCCCACCCCCAUCACCACUCCUGGGGUCUGCAGGCACAGACCCAGGGAACAAGAGCCUUCGGCAGCACACAUUCAGAACACUUCAUGUGCAAAGACACAUCUCCAGACUGAAAGGUCAUUACAGUCCCAGUGGACAAAGAUUAAGGAGAAGCCAGCCGUGCUUUGGUUUAUGCUUUUAUAACUCUUGGGCCUGUUCACAUGGGUCAGAUACCAUCACUCUUCCCGGACCAGUGAACGCCAUGGUGUGGGGGCAGGAAGGAGUGACAAGGGUGCCUGCUGAGCCACUCCCUGGAACCAGCCCCUGACCUGGAACUGGACUUAGAGGCCCUGUGCCCAGCCCCUGAGACUGGUAAAGACACUGCUCAGUAACGCAGUUAACAAACGAAGAGAUGGUCAAGUUCACCCAUAACUAAAGAAAUGCAAGUUGAAGUUUCACAUUUUUGCCCAUCAGAUUGAUAAAGACUAAGAAAAUUGAUCAUAUCAAGUGCUGGGGAGGCUGUGGGGAACGACCCCUCAUCCACUGUUUGUUCAGCUUCUUAUGAAGAAUUUGGGGACUUUCGACACUGUCCAUCAAAUACAAAACUGUGACCACCCUUUGGCUCAGCAGUUUCAUUUUAACGAAGCUAUCUGAAGAUAACAUCGGUUUGAUGUUUAAAAACAGUGCAUGAGGAUGUCACUGAAUUAUAACUGUAGCUUUUGCAUUGAUUUUGCUCAAACAGGACUGCCUGUCCACAUGGAAACAACUCGAAUGUCCACCAGCAGGAGACUCCUUAAAUAAAUUAUGUAUCGGUAUGUAUUUAAUAGCAAUGUCUUGGAAAUAAAAUAUAUGCACAUAUAACAACAACGUAGGUAAGACAGGCAUGGAAAAAAAUCCAGAAGACAAAAUAUUGAAAUGUUAAUAACCGAGAUGUCUUCUGGGGGGCAUGAAAUUUCUUUCUAUAGCAUGUAUUUCUGUAAUAUUUAAAUUUCUGUAAAAUUUAAAUUUACAUCACAAGCAUGUAUUGCUGUUAUAAGCAGAAAAAGAUUUCAUUUAUUUUUAAAUGUUUAUUUACUUUGAGAGAGAGAGAGCGUGAGGAGAGGCCAAG
Long non-coding RNA from Herpailurus yagouaroundi (jaguarundi), 1201 nucleotides. RefSeq lists it as uncharacterized. NCBI's taxonomy places the organism in Eukaryota, Metazoa, Chordata, Mammalia, Carnivora, Felidae. The record is from RefSeq and is a predicted model, not a curated record. The transcript has 3 exons.